AAGACCUUGCACUUUUGGAGCGGCCGAUGUCUGAUUAGCUAGUUUGGUGGGGUAAUGGCCUACCAAAGCUUCGAUUCAGUAGCUGGUCUGAGAGGACGGCCAGCCACACUGGGACUGAGACACGGCCCAGACUCCUACGGGAGGCAGCAGUGGGGAAUUUUGGACAAUGGGCGCAAGCCUGAUCCAGCCAUGCCGCGUGAGUGAAGAAGGCCUUCGGGUUGUAAAGCUCUUUCAGCCGGGAAGAAAAGGUUGCGAUUAAUAAUCGCAAUUUAUGACGGUACCGGAAGAAGAAGCACCGGCUAACUACGUGCCGGCAGCCGCGGUAAUACGUAGGGUGCGAGCGUUAAUCGGAAUUACUGGGCGUAAAGGGUGCGCAGGCGGUUUUGUAAGUCAGAUGCGAAAUCCCCGGGCUUAACCUGGGAACU
Molecule: ribosomal RNA, 425 nt
Filed under: uncultured bacterium
Lineage: Bacteria
Description: bacterial SSU rRNA
Rfam family: Bacterial small subunit ribosomal RNA
Source: RNAcentral